AGUUCCUCACAUCUGUUUCGCUCUUGGGCAUCUGCUGUGGCUGUUGACUCGACUUCUAUUAUCAGAGAAAGAACAGGGCUGUCUUAGCCUGCUGAAGCAGGAAGAAUAGCCACAUCUGGCAGUUUCCAAGGGGAAGCACUCAGACACGCUAUUCCACAGCAGACCCGGGACUCUGCAGUGCAUGGGAGAGAUGCAGUGGCUGUCACCACAGGAGCUGGGAAAGAAGAGGGGCACAAAGGCAUAUUUAGGACAUGCCAUGAGAAAGACUGUACAGCAGGACUUGUAAAGAAUUAAAGGAUAAAAUAACAAGAAGCACAGUGGAGAGAAUGUUGUACAAUUUUGUCAAUAUGGAUGAUUUCCA
This is a non-coding RNA of Peromyscus maniculatus bairdii (prairie deer mouse), 361 nucleotides long. The record is from RefSeq and is a predicted model, not a curated record. Lineage: Eukaryota; Metazoa; Chordata; Mammalia; Rodentia; Cricetidae.